GAACGCGAAGAACCUUACCCGGGCUUGAACUAACGGUGACGAAUCUAGAGAUAGAUUUUUCUUCGGACACCGUUGGAGGUGCUGCAUGGUUGUCGUCAGCUCGUGCCGUGAGGUGUCGGCUUAAGUGCCAUAACGAGCGCAACCCUUCUCCUCGGUUGCCAUCGGGUAAUGCCGGGCACUCCGUGGACACUGCCAUCGUAAGAUGUGAGGAAGGUGGGGAUGACGUCAAAUCAGCACGGCCCUUACGUCCGGGGCUACACACGUGUUACAAUGGGGGGUACAGAAGGCCGCUACCCGGCGACGGGAUGCUAAUCUUUAAAACCUCUCUCAGUUCGGAUCGGAGUCUGCAACCCGACUCCGUGAAGCUGGAUUCGCUAGUAAUCGCGCAUCAGCCAUGGCGCGGUGAAUACGUUCCCGGGUCUUGUACACACC
RNAcentral lists this ribosomal RNA (432 nucleotides) under uncultured bacterium. RNAcentral describes it as "bacterial SSU rRNA". It matches the Rfam family "Bacterial small subunit ribosomal RNA", at positions 957 to 1391 of the family's 1533-position model. The record is from RNAcentral.